RNAcentral lists this ribosomal RNA (606 nucleotides) under Rhizobiaceae bacterium N50. Its description in RNAcentral is "bacterial SSU rRNA". It matches the Rfam family "Bacterial small subunit ribosomal RNA", at positions 32 to 686 of the family's 1533-position model. Lineage: Bacteria; Pseudomonadati; Pseudomonadota; Alphaproteobacteria; Hyphomicrobiales; Rhizobiaceae. The record is from RNAcentral.
AACGCUGGCGGCAGGCUUAACACAUGCAAGUCGAGCGCCCCGCAAGGGGAGCGGCAGACGGGUGAGUAACGCGUGGGAAUCUACCCUUUUCUACGGAAUAACGCAGGGAAACUUGUGCUAAUACCGUAUACGCCCUUCGGGGGAAAGAUUUAUCGGGAAAGGAUGAGCCCGCGUUGGAUUAGCUAGUUGGUGGGGUAAAGGCCUACCAAGGCGACGAUCCAUAGCUGGUCUGAGAGGAUGAUCAGCCACAUUGGGACUGAGACACGGCCCAAACUCCUACGGGAGGCAGCAGUGGGGAAUAUUGGACAAUGGGCGCAAGCCUGAUCCAGCCAUGCCGCGUGAGUGAUGAAGGCCCUAGGGUUGUAAAGCUCUUUCACCGGUGAAGAUAAUGACGGUAACCGGAGAAGAAGCCCCGGCUAACUUCGUGCCAGCAGCCGCGGUAAUACGAAGGGGGCUAGCGUUGUUCGGAAUUACUGGGCGUAAAGCGCACGUAGGCGGACAUUUAAGUCAGGGGUGAAAUCCCGGGGCUCAACCCCGGAACUGCCUUUGAUACUGGGUGUCUAGAGUAUGGAAGAGGUGAGUGGAAUUCCGAGUGUAGAGGUGAAA